Molecule: long non-coding RNA, 958 nt
Organism: Penaeus monodon (black tiger shrimp)
Lineage: Eukaryota; Metazoa; Arthropoda; Malacostraca; Decapoda; Penaeidae
Exons: 2
Source: RefSeq, a predicted model, not a curated record
UUAUUUGCUCUUGCUUAAUUUCAUUCCCUUCAUUUCUCUGACGCUGAUGAUUGUCAUUUGCCAGACUACCAAUGUGUUCGACGUUUGUGUUAAGUGAGACUACAAUUGCUUACUUUUUUUUAUUUCUAGUGUACGCUUUUUAUCCUUCUUAUUUAUGACUAUAAUGUCGAGGUCGCAUAAAUAACUUAAGUGCGUAAUUACAGGCGUAACAGAGACAUAUAGCAUACUAACAACCUGCUGCGUUUUUAAGUGGGACUACUUCCUACUAAAGCAACUGGAGACCGACUUUCAAACCUUUGCAAUACUCUCGUCAGGAUAUUUGAACGUGUAGGAUUAGGGAACCAAUAGAAGCCCGUCGAAAUUAAUAUACAUACAUACAAAUUAUGAAGAUUAUGUGGAUUGCACGCCCAGCUCAAAAAUUUCGUUGCUAUCACUAAUUUGGCACUCCGCUGCUUCAAACAGCGUUCAAACAGCCUCGGACUUCCCCCGCUCCACCAGCCUCCUCCGCGUUGAUGUCUCGAGUGCCGCAGAGAAUCGUACCAGUCCACUUCAGGUGUUUGUGUGUGUGAGUGGCAACACCGGGGAAGUGCCACUGAAUAAACCCCGAGAUGUAAUUAAGCAAUAGUGGGAACAAGGUGGAAAAUAGAGCCGCUCGUGUGCCAUGCGUGGUUUCUCGUUCUCACGCUAUAUGGUUUUCGAAUCGUUCUCUGGAAAUUGCCCACUCGGUUUCUCAUCUACUGCCCUUCGAAUGCAAAAUGUGUCCCAUUAAGUAAAGUGACAGACAGAGCAUUUUGUUGUUAUUAUCAUUAUAUUCCUUUAGUUUUGUGUUCGUGAAGUAUUCGCCAAAUGAGAAAGCUUUGUGUGCCACAUGAUAUGAGCCAAAGGUCAUUGAUAGCCAUAUGAGCAGAUGAAAAAUAUGUAUCAAUCACAAAAGAAAAAUAUGAAAAUAAAAGAAAAA